GGAAAAGAAACCAACAGGGAUUGCCCCAGUAACGGCGAGUGAAGCGGCAACAGCUCAAAUUUGAAAUCCGGCCCCCGGGGCCCGAGUUGUAAUUUGCAGAGGAUGCUUCGGGCGAGGCGCCUUCCGAGUUCCCUGGAACGGGACGCCGCAGAGGGUGAGAGCCCCGUCUGGUCGGACGCCGAGCCCGCGUGAAGCUCCUUCGACGAGUCGAGUAGUUUGGGAAUGCUGCUCAAAACGGGAGGUAUAUGUCUUCUAAAGCUAAAUACCGGCCAGAGACCGAUAGCGCACAAGUAGAGUGAUCGAAAGAUGAAAAGCACUUUGAAAAGAGGGUUAAAAAGUACGUGAAAUUGUUGAAAGGGAAGCGCCCGCGACCAGACUUGGGCCCGGCGGAUCACCCGGCGUUCUCGCCGGCGCACUCCGCCGGGCACAGGCCAGCAUCGGUCCGGCGCGGGGGACAAAGGCUCUGGGAACGUGGCUCCCCCGGGAGUGUUAUAGCCCACCGCGCAAUGCCCUGCGCCGGACCGAGGAACGCGCACCGCAAGGAUGCUGGCGUAAUGGUCGUCGGCGACCCGUCUUGAAACACGGACCAAGGAGUCGUCUUCGUAUGCGAGUGUUCGGGUGUGAAACCCCUACGCGGAAUGAAAGUGAACGCGGGUGAGAGCCUCGGCGCAUCAUCGACCGAUCCUGAUGUCCUCGGAUGGAUUUGAGUAGGAGCAUACGGGGCCGGACCCGAAAGAAGGUGAACUAUGCCUGCGUAGGGUGAAGCCAGAGGAAACUCUGGUGGAGGCUCGCAGCGGUUCUGACGUGCGAAUCGAUCGUCAAACGUGGGCAUGGGGGCGAAAGACUAAUCGA
RNAcentral lists this ribosomal RNA (852 nucleotides) under Hevansia arachnophila. Its description in RNAcentral is "partial large subunit ribosomal RNA". It matches the Rfam family "Eukaryotic large subunit ribosomal RNA", at positions 55 to 938 of the family's 3401-position model. The record is from RNAcentral. Lineage: Eukaryota; Fungi; Ascomycota; Sordariomycetes; Hypocreales; Cordycipitaceae.